This 484-nucleotide ribosomal RNA is filed under the name uncultured bacterium. RNAcentral describes it as "partial 16S ribosomal RNA". It matches the Rfam family "Bacterial small subunit ribosomal RNA", at positions 30 to 507 of the family's 1533-position model. The record is from RNAcentral.
AUUGAACGCUGGCGGCAGGCCUAACACAUGCAAGUCGAGCGGAUGAAGGGAGCUUGCUCCUGGAUUCAGCGGCGGACGGGUGAGUAAUGCCUAGGAAUCUGCCUGGUAGUGGGGGAUAACGUCCGGAAACGGGCGCUAAUACCGCAUACGUCCUGAGGGAGAAAGUGGGGGAUCUUCGGACCUCACGCUAUCAGAUGAGCCUAGGUCGGAUUAGCUAGUUGGUGGGGUAAAGGCCUACCAAGGCGACGAUCCGUACCUGGUCUGAGAGGAUGAUCAGUCACACGGGAACUGAAACACGGUCCAGACUCCUACGGGAGGCAGCAGUGGGGAAUAUUGGACAAUGGGCGAAAGCCUGAUCCAGCCAUGCCGCGUGUGUGAAGAAGGUCUUCGGAUUGUAAAGCACUUUAAGUUGGGAGGAAGGGCAGUAAGUUAAUACCCUGCUGUUUUGACGGUACCAACAGAAUAAGCACCGGCUAACUUCGUG